ACCAGACUCCUACGGGAGGCAGCAGUAAGGGAUAUUGGUCAAUGGGGGAAGCCCUGAACCAGCAACGCCGCGUGAGGGAAGACGGUUUUCGGAUUGUAAACCUCUGUCCUCUGUGAAGAUGAUGACGGUAGCAGAGGAGGAAGCUCCGGCUAACUACGUGCCAGCAGCCGCGGUAAUACGUAGGGGGCAAGCGUUAUCCGGAAUUACUGGGUGUAAAGGGAGCGUAGACGGUGAUGCAAGUCUGGAGUGAAAGGCGGGGGCCCAACCCCCGGACUGCUCUGGAAACUGUAUGACUUGAGUGCAGGAGAGGUAAGCGGAAUUCCUAGUGUAGCGGUGAAAUGCGUAGAUAUUAGGAGGAACACCAGUGGCGAAGGCGGCUUACUGGACUGUAACUGACGUUGAGGCUCGAAAGCGUGGGGAGCAAACAGGAUUAGAUACCCCGGUAC
Molecule: ribosomal RNA, 446 nt
Filed under: uncultured bacterium
Lineage: Bacteria
Description: bacterial SSU rRNA
Rfam family: Bacterial small subunit ribosomal RNA
Source: RNAcentral